This 390-nucleotide unclassified non-coding RNA is filed under the name soil metagenome. Its description in RNAcentral is "partial contains 5.8S ribosomal RNA, internal transcribed spacer 2, and large subunit ribosomal RNA". The stretch from base 1 to 121 matches the Rfam family "5.8S ribosomal RNA", at positions 35 to 154 of the family's 154-position model. The record is from RNAcentral.
GAUGAAGAACGUAGCGAAAUGCGAUACUUGGUGUGAAUUGCAGAAUCCCGUGAACCAUCGAGUCUUGAACGCAAGUUGCGCCCGAAGCCAUUAGGCCGAGGGCACGCCUGCCUGGGCGUCACACGUCGUUGCCCCCCCAUCUACUCCUUCGGGAUUGCGGGGGGCGGAUGAUGGCCUCCCGUGCGCCUCGUCGCGCGGUUGGCCUAAAUGCCAAGUCCUCGGCGACGCACGCCACGACAAUCGGUGGUUGCGAAACCUCGGUUGCCUGUCGUGUGCGGUCGUCGCGCAUCGAGGGCUCGAAAAAAUUGCCGGGCUUCGGCUCGACUUUCAACGCGACCCCAGGUCAGGCGGGGUUACCCGCUGAAUUUAAGCAUAUCAAUAAGCGGAGGA